UUUCUCAAUGCUGCCUGCUUUAUAUUCAGAUUAUGUUGAUUUUCCUCCAAAUGACAAAUCUGAAUUACAGAUAAUUUAGUAAUUGGUGUUUAAUACUUACAAAUACGUAAAGCAACAAACUGGAAUAAAACCAAGGGAUGCUUUGUGGAAGUACUUGAGAAUGGAUGUUGAUGUCUUUUCAAAGAUAACUCCGCUAAAUGGUAGUACCUGUAGUCUGUGAUGCAGACGUGGCUGAUAACUUAACAAAUGUCUUCGUGUCUGCGGCUCAGCUGUGCUGUUGUCCCAGGUGCCCCACCUUGGCUGGCAUAUCUCCCAGGCCAGCACUCUUGUGACUCUGCCCCCUACAUGCUGGGGAGUCUCUAUCUCUCUCUGGGACAGCCAACCACCUGUCAGACAACAUCAUCUGUCAAUCUCCUAAUCUUCAAACUCUACAUGUCAAAACAGAAGUCGUUUUCCCACUAAACCUAAACCAGCACCUUCUGAAUUCCUUUUAUGAGAUGAUG
This 503-nucleotide long non-coding RNA is filed under the name Homo sapiens (human). Its description in RNAcentral is "non-protein coding lnc-CELF2-2:1". Lineage: Eukaryota; Metazoa; Chordata; Mammalia; Primates; Hominidae. The record is from RNAcentral.